GAUGAACGCUGGCGGCGUGCCUAAUACAUGCAAGUCGAGCGGCAGCACGGUCUUCGGACUGGUGGCGAGCGGCGGACGGCAGAGUAACGCGUAGGAACAUGCCCCAAAGUGAGGAAUAACUGCCCGAAAGGGUGGCUACUGCCGCAUAUGCCCUUCGGAGUAAAGCUUUAUGCGCUUUGGGAGUGGCCUGCGUCUGAUUAGCUUGUUGGUAACGGCCUACCAAGGCAUCGACGGGUAGCUGGUCUGAGAGGAUGAUCAGCCACACUGGGACUGAGACACGGCCCAGACUCCUACGGGAGGCAGCAGUGGGGAAUCUUGCGCAAUGGGCGAAAGCCUGACGCAGCAACGCCGCGUGCGGGAAGAAGGCCCUCGGGUUGUAAACCGCUUUCAGCAGGAAAGAAAAUGACGGUACCUGCAGAAGAAGGUGCGGCCAACUACGUGCCAGCCGCCGCCGUAA
RNAcentral lists this ribosomal RNA (457 nucleotides) under uncultured bacterium. RNAcentral's name for it is "partial 16S ribosomal RNA". It matches the Rfam family "Bacterial small subunit ribosomal RNA", at positions 28 to 523 of the family's 1533-position model. The record is from RNAcentral.